AAAGUUAGAGGUUCGAAGGCGAUCAGAUACCGCCCUAGUUCUAACCAUAAACGAUGCCAGCCAGCGAUCCGGCUGUGUUCCUCAAAUGACACGCCGGGCAGCUUCCGGGAAACCAAAGCUUUUGGGUUCCGGGGGAAGUAUGGUUGCAAAGCUGAAACUUAAAGGAAUUGACGGAAGGGCACCACCAGGAAUGGAGCCUGCGGCUUAAUUUGACUCAACACGGGAAAACUUACCCGGCCCGGACACAGGAAGGAUUGACAGAUUAAGAGCUCUUUCUUGAUUCUGUGGGUGGUGGUGCAUGGCCGUUCUUAGUUGGUGGAGCGAUUUGUCUGGUUAAUUCCGAUAACGAACGAGACUCUAGCCUACUAAAUAGACGUUCCGAUCAUCUGCGUCGGACGUUCUUCUUAGAGGGACAAGCGGCGUUUAGCCGCACGAGACAGAGCAAUAACAGGUCUGUGAUGCCCUUAGAUGCACGGGGCCGCACGCGCGCUACAUUGAAGGAAUCAGCGUGUGCUUUCCCUGUCCGACAGGACUGGGUAACCCGUUGAACCUCCUUCGUGCUGGGGAUAGGGGCUUGUAAUUGUUCCCCUUGAACGAGGAAUUCCCAGUAAGCACGAGUCAUAAGCUCGUGUUGAUUACGUCCCUGCCCUUUGUACACACCGCCCGUCGCUACUACCGAUUGAAUGAUUUAGUGAGGUCUUCGGACUGGCGCUCGGAGCGGCCUUCGGGUCGCGCCGGCGUGCCGGAAAGAUGACCAAACUUGAUCAUU
Molecule: ribosomal RNA, 769 nt
Filed under: Pimus sp. 1 JCS-2006
Lineage: Eukaryota; Metazoa; Arthropoda; Arachnida; Araneae; Amaurobiidae
Also listed under: 1 other name
Description: SSU rRNA
Rfam family: Eukaryotic small subunit ribosomal RNA
Source: RNAcentral